RNAcentral lists this ribosomal RNA (207 nucleotides) under uncultured bacterium. Its description in RNAcentral is "partial 16S ribosomal RNA". It matches the Rfam family "Bacterial small subunit ribosomal RNA", at positions 568 to 774 of the family's 1533-position model. The record is from RNAcentral.
CGCGUAGGUGGUUUGUUAAGUCGGAUGUGAAAGCCCCGGGCUCAACCUGGGAAUUGCAUUCGAUACUGGCAGACUAGAGUAUGGUAGAGGGAAGUGGGAUUCCGGGUGUAGCGGUGAAAUGCGUAGAUAUCCGGAGGAACAUCAGUGGCGAAGGCGACUUCCUGGACCAAUACUGACACUGAGGUGCGAAAGCGUGGGUAGCAAACA